AACGCGAAGAACCUUACCUACCCUUGACAUCCUAGGGAUUUUGCAGAGAUGCAGAAGUGCCUUCGGGAACCUAGAGACAGGUGCUGCAUGGCUGUCGUCAGCUCGUGUUGUGAGAUGUUGGGUUAAGUCCCGUAACGAGCGCAACCCCUAUUCUUAGUUGCCAGCGAGUAAAGUCGGGAACUCUAAGGAGACUGCCGGUGACAAACCGGAGGAAGGUGGGGAUGACGUCAAGUCAUCAUGGCCUUUAUGGGUAGGGCCACACACGUGCUACAAUGGUCGGUACAAAGGGACGCCAACCCGCGAGGGGGAGCAAAUCUCAGAAAACCGAUCGUAGUCCGGAUUGGAGUCUGCAACUCGACUCCAUGAAGUUGGAAUCGCUAGUAAUCGCGGAUCAGAACGCCGCGGUGAAUACGUUCCCGGGCCUUGUACACACCGUACGUC
This 441-nucleotide ribosomal RNA is filed under the name uncultured bacterium. RNAcentral's name for it is "bacterial SSU rRNA". It matches the Rfam family "Bacterial small subunit ribosomal RNA", at positions 958 to 1398 of the family's 1533-position model. The record is from RNAcentral.